GAUGAACGCUGGCGGCGUGCCUAAUACAUGCAAGUCGAGCGAACAGACGAGGAGCUUGCUCCUCUGACGUUAGCGGCGGACGGGUGAGUAACACGUGGAUAACCUACCUAUAAGUCUGGGAUAACUUGGGGAAACCGGAGCUCAUACCGGAUAAUAUAUUGAACCGCAUGGUUCAAUAGUGAAAGACGGUUUUGCUGUCACUUAUAGAUGGAUCCGCGCCGCAUUAGCUAGUUGGUAAGGUAACGGCUUACCAAGGCAACGAUGCGUAGCCGACCUGAGAGGGUGAUCGGCCACACUGGAACUGAGACACGGUCCAGACUCCUACGGGAGGCAGCAGUAGGGAAUCUUCCGCAAUGGGCGAAAGCCUGACGGAGCAACGCCGCGUGAGGGAUGAAGGUCUUCGGAUCGUAAAACUCUGUUAUUAGGGAAGAACAAAUGUGUAAGUAACUAGGCACGUCUUGACGGUACCUAAUCAGAAAGCCACGGCUAACUACGUG
This 497-nucleotide ribosomal RNA is filed under the name uncultured bacterium. RNAcentral's name for it is "partial 16S ribosomal RNA". It matches the Rfam family "Bacterial small subunit ribosomal RNA", at positions 28 to 507 of the family's 1533-position model. The record is from RNAcentral.